This 1345-nucleotide ribosomal RNA is filed under the name uncultured bacterium. RNAcentral describes it as "partial 16S ribosomal RNA". It matches the Rfam family "Bacterial small subunit ribosomal RNA", at positions 28 to 1380 of the family's 1533-position model. The record is from RNAcentral.
GACGAACGCUGGCGGCGUGCUUAACACAUGCAAGUCGAACGGAAAGGCCCUGCUUUUGUGGGGUGCUCGAGUGGCGAACGGGUGAGUAACACGUGAGUAACCUGCCCUUGACUUUGGGAUAACUUCAGGAAACUGGGGCUAAUACCGGAUAGGAGCUCCUGCUGCAUGGUGGGGGUUGGAAAGUUUCGGCGGUUGGGGAUGGACUCGCGGCUUAUCAGCUUGUUGGUGGGGUAGUGGCUUACCAAGGCUUUGACGGGUAGCCGGCCUGAGAGGGUGACCGGCCACAUUGGGACUGAGAUACGGCCCAGACUCCUACGGGAGGCAGCAGUGGGGAAUAUUGCACAAUGGGCGGAAGCCUGAUGCAGCAACGCCGCGUGCGGGAUGACGGCCUUCGGGUUGUAAACCGCUUUCGCCUGUGACGAAGCGUGAGUGACGGUAAUGGGUAAAGAAGCACCGGCUAACUACGUGCCAGCAGCCGCGGUGAUACGUAGGGUGCGAGCGUUGUCCGGAUUUAUUGGGCGUAAAGGGCUCGUAGGUGGUUGAUCGCGUCGGAAGUGUAAUCUUGGGGCUUAACCCUGAGCGUGCUUUCGAUACGGGUUGACUUGAGGAAGGUAGGGGAGAAUGGAAUUCCUGGUGGAGCGGUGGAAUGCGCAGAUAUCAGGAGGAACACCAGUGGCGAAGGCGGUUCUCUGGGCCUUUCCUGACGCUGAGGAGCGAAAGCGUGGGGAGCGAACAGGCUUAGAUACCCUGGUAGUCCACGCUGUAAACGGUGGGUACUAGGUGUGGGGUCCAUUCCACGGGUUCCGUGCCGUAGCUAACGCUUUAAGUACCCCGCCUGGGGAGUACGGCCGCAAGGCUAAAACUCGAAGGAAUUGACGGGGCCCCGCACAAGCGGCGGAGCAUGCGGAUUAAUUCGAUGCAACGCGUAGAACCUUACCUGGGUUUGACAUGGAUCGGGAGUGCUCAGAGAUGGGUGUGCCUCUUUUGGGGUCGGUUCACAGGUGGUGCAUGCCUGUCGUCAGCUCGUGUCGUGAGCUGUUGGGUUAAGUCCCGCAACGAGCGCAACCCUUGUUCACUGUUGCCAGCACGUUAUGGUGGGGACUCAGUGGAGACCGCCGGGGUCAACUCGGAGGAAGGUGGGGAUGACGUCAAGUCAUCAUGCCCCUUAUGUCCAGGGCUUCACGCAUGCUACAAUGGCUGGUACAGAGAGUGGCGAGCCUGUGAGGGUGAGCGAAUCUCGGAAAGCCGGUCUCAGUUCGGAUUGGGGUCUGCAACUCGACCUCAUGAAGUCGGAGUCGCUAGUAAUCGCAGAUCAGCAACGCUGCGGUGAAUACGUUCCCGGGGC